RNAcentral lists this ribosomal RNA (253 nucleotides) under uncultured bacterium. RNAcentral's name for it is "partial 16S ribosomal RNA". It matches the Rfam family "Bacterial small subunit ribosomal RNA", at positions 524 to 776 of the family's 1533-position model. The record is from RNAcentral.
UACGUAGGGUGCUAGAGUUGUCCGGAUUUACUGGGUGUAAAGGGUGCUCAGGUGGGUUUGUAAGUUAGAGGUGAAAGCCCGGGGCUCAACCCCGGAAUUGCCUUUAAGACUGCAUCGCUUGAAUCCGGGAGAGGUGAGUGGAAUUCCGAGUGUAGAGGUGAAAUUCGUAGAUAUUCGGAAGAACACCAGUGGCGAAGGCGGCUCACUGGACCGGUAUUGACGCUGAGGUGCGAAAGCGUGGGGAGCAAACAGG